Molecule: ribosomal RNA, 110 nt
Filed under: Salmonella enterica subsp. enterica serovar Infantis
Lineage: Bacteria; Pseudomonadati; Pseudomonadota; Gammaproteobacteria; Enterobacterales; Enterobacteriaceae
Description: partial 16S ribosomal RNA
Rfam family: Bacterial small subunit ribosomal RNA
Source: RNAcentral
AAAUUGAAGAGUUUGAUCAUGGCUCAGAUUGAACGCUGGCGGCAGGCCUAACACAUGCAAGUCGAACGGUAACAGGAAGCAGCUUGCUGCUUUGCUGACGAGUGGCGGNC